GAUGAACGCUGGCGGCGUGCCUAAUACAUGCAAGUCGAGCGAACAGACGAGGAGCUUGCUCCUCUGACGUUAGCGGCGGACGGGUGAGUAACACGUGGAUAACCUACCUAUAAGACUGGGAUAACUUCGGGAAACCGGAGCUAAUACCGGAUAAUAUAUUGAACCGCAUGGUUCAAUAGUGAAAGACGGUUUUGCUGUCACUUAUAGAUGGAUCCGCGCCGCAUUAGCUAGUUGGUAAGGUAACGGCUUACCAAGGCAACGAUGCGUAGCCGACCUGAGAGGGUGAUCGGCCACACUGGAACUGAGACACGGUCCAGACUCCUACGGGAGGCAGCAGUAGGGAAUCUUCCGCAAUGGGCGAAAGCUUGACGGAGCAACACCGCGUGAGUGAUGAAGGUCUUCGGAUCGUAAAGCUCUGUUAUUAGGGAAGAACAAAUGUGUAAGUAACUAUGCACGUCUUGACGGUACCUAAUCAAAAAGCCACGGCUAACUACGUG
This 497-nucleotide ribosomal RNA is filed under the name uncultured bacterium. RNAcentral's name for it is "partial 16S ribosomal RNA". It matches the Rfam family "Bacterial small subunit ribosomal RNA", at positions 28 to 507 of the family's 1533-position model. The record is from RNAcentral.